Molecule: ribosomal RNA, 1159 nt
Filed under: uncultured bacterium
Lineage: Bacteria
Description: bacterial SSU rRNA
Rfam family: Bacterial small subunit ribosomal RNA
Source: RNAcentral
ACGGUCCAGACUCCUACGGGAGGCAGCAGUGGGGAAUAUUGGACAAUGGGCGAAAGCCUGAUCCAGCCAUGCCGCAUGAGUGAAGAAGGCCUUUGGGUUGUAAAGCUCUUUUAGUGAGGAAGAUAAUGACGGUACUCACAGAAGAAGUCCUGGCUAACUCCGUGCCAGCAGCCGCGGUAAUACGGAGAGGGCUAGCGUUAUUCGGAAUUAUUGGGCGUAAAGGGCGCGUAGACGGAUUAGUACGUUAAAAGUGAAAUCCCAAGGCUCAACCUUGGAAUUGCUUUUAAAACUGCUAAUCUAGAGAUUGAAAGGGGAUAGAGGAAUUCCUAGUGUAGAGGUGAAAUUCGUAAAUAUUAGGAGGAACACCAGUGGCGAAGGCGUCUAUCUGGUUCAAAUCUGACGCUGAGGCGCGAAGGCGUGGGGAGCAAACAGGAUUAGAUACCCUGGUAGUCCACGCUGUAAACGAUGAAUGUUAAAUAUGGGAAGUUUUACUUUCUGUAUUACAGCUAACGCGUUAAACAUUCCGCCUGGGGACUACGGUCGCAAGAUUAAAACUCAAAGGAAUUGACGGGGACCCGCACAAGCGGUGGAGCAUGUGGUUUAAUUCGAUGCAACGCGAAAAACCUUACAACUCCUUGACAUGGAAAUUAUACCUAUUCGAAGGGACAGGGUCGGUUCGGCCGGGUUUCACACAGGUGUUGCAUGGCUGUCGUCAGCUCGUGUCGUGAGAUAUUGGGUUAAGUCCCGCAACGAGCGCAACCCUCAUCCUUAGUUACCAUCAGGUAAUGCUGGGGACUUUAAGGAAACUGCCAGUGAUAAACUGGAGGAAGGUGGGGAUGAUGUCAAGUCAUCAUGGCCCUUAUGGAGUGGGCUACACACGUGCUACAAUGGUGGCUACAAUGGGCUGCAAAGUCGCGAGGCUAAGCUAAUCCCUUAAAAGCCAUCUCAGUUCGGAUUGUACUCUGCAACUCGAGUGCAUGAAGUUGGAAUCGCUAGUAAUCGUGGAUCAGCACGCCACGGUGAAUACGUUCUCGGGUCUCGUACACACUGCCCGUCACGCCAUGGGAAUUGGUUUCACUCGAAGCUAACGACCUAACCGCAAGGAGGGAGUUAUUUAAAGUGGGAUCGGUGACUGGGGUGAAGUCGUAACAAGGUAACC